RNAcentral lists this ribosomal RNA (465 nucleotides) under uncultured Klebsiella sp. Its description in RNAcentral is "bacterial SSU rRNA". It matches the Rfam family "Bacterial small subunit ribosomal RNA", at positions 338 to 795 of the family's 1533-position model. Lineage: Bacteria; Pseudomonadati; Pseudomonadota; Gammaproteobacteria; Enterobacterales; Enterobacteriaceae. The record is from RNAcentral.
CCUACGGGUGGCUGCAGUGGGGAAUAUUGCACAAUGGGCGCAAGCCUGAUGCAGCCAUGCCGCGUGUGUGAAGAAGGCCUUCGGGUUGUAAAGCACUUUCAGCGGGGAGGAAGGCGUUAAGGUUAAUAACCUUGGCGAUUGACGUUACCCGCAGAAGAAGCACCGGCUAACUCCGUGCCAGCAGCCGCGGUAAUACGGAGGGUGCAAGCGUUAAUCGGAAUUACUGGGCGUAAAGCGCACGCAGGCGGUCUGUCAAGUCGGAUGUGGAAUCCCCGGGCUCAACCUGGGAACUGCAUUCGAAACUGGCAGGCUAGAGUCUUGUAGAGGGGGGUAGAAUUCCAGGUGUAGCGGUGAAAUGCGUAGAGAUCUGGAGGAAUACCGGUGGCGAAGGCGGCCCCCUGGACAAAGACUGACGCUCAGGUGCGAAAGCGUGGGGAGCAAACAGGAUUAGAUACCCGUGUAGUC